This 357-nucleotide transfer-messenger RNA is filed under the name Planctomycetota. Its description in RNAcentral is "JAKLKS01 sp023150535 Standard tmRNA". It matches the Rfam family "transfer-messenger RNA". From Rfam's summary of the family: Bacterial tmRNA, also known as 10Sa RNA or SsrA, is named for its dual tRNA and mRNA-like properties. Its role is to liberate the mRNA from a stalled ribosome. To accomplish this part of the tmRNA is used as a reading frame that ends in a translation stop signal. The record is from RNAcentral. Lineage: Bacteria; Pseudomonadati. RNAcentral also lists the same sequence under 2 other names.
GGGGGCGAACAGGGUUCGACCGGGCGAUGCCACCGCGAAGGACGCGCGCCGAGGUUCCAGGAGGCCUCGUAAAACCCCUGGGAAAACUUCAAGUGCCAACGGCACCCAGUACUCCCUCGCGGCUUAGUCCGUGAGCGUCCCCCCGAUCCUCGCCCGCGGGAACGGGGGGACGUAUGCAGCGGGCGGAUCCCCCGGAGGCCGCCGAGCGGCCGGGGGACGACAUCACGGUCGGCUGGCGCCCGGGGGACCCCGUCCGUGGGGACCCCCGGGGGCGAUGACUCCAAACGCGGAACACGCGCGUAGGGUCCCCGCGGGGGCCGUUCCGGGACGUGGGUUCGAUUCCCACCGCCUCCACCA